RNAcentral lists this ribosomal RNA (1361 nucleotides) under uncultured bacterium. RNAcentral describes it as "bacterial SSU rRNA". It matches the Rfam family "Bacterial small subunit ribosomal RNA". The record is from RNAcentral.
AGCGGCGCGAUUCCUAGUGAUUAGAGUUUGAUCAUGGCUCAGAACGUACGCUGGCGGCACGCCUAACACAUGCAAGUCGAACGAAGUAGCAAUACUUAGUGGCAGACGGGUGAGUAACAUGUAGGUAUCUACCCUUUGGCCUGGAAUAACACGAGGAAACUUGUGCUAAUACCGGAUAAGUCUUUACGGAGAAAGCUUUAUGCACCAUUGGAUGAGCCUGCACUUGAUUAGUUUGUUGGUGGGGUAAUGGCCUACCAAGACUUUGAUCAAUAGCUGAUUUGAGAGGAUGAUCAGCCACAUUGGGACUGAGACACGGCCCAAACUCCUACGGGAGGCAGCAGUGGGGAAUCUUGCACAAUGGAGGAAACUCUGAUGCAGCGAUGCCGCGUGAGUGAAGAAGGCCCUUGGGUUGUAAAGCUCUUUCGUCGGGGAAGAAAAUGACUGUACCCGAAUAAGAAGGUCCGGCUAACUUCGUGCCAGCAGCCGCGGUAAUACGAAGGGACCUAGCGUAGUUCGGAAUUACUGGGCUUAAAGAGUUCGUAGGUGGUUGAAAAAGUUGGUGGUGAAAUCCCAGAGCUUAACUCUGGAACUGCCAUCAAAACUUUUCAGCUAGAGUUUGGUAGAGGAAAGCAGAAUUUCUAGUGUAGAGGUGAAAUUCGUAGAUAUUAGAAAGAAUACCAAUUGCGAAGGCAGCUUUCUGGAUCAUUACUGACACUGAGGAACGAAAGCAUGGGUAGCGAAGAGGAUUAGAUACCCUCGUAGUCCAUGCCGUAAACGAUGUGUGUUAGACGUUGGAAAUUUAUUUUCAGUGUCGCAGCGAAAGCGAUAAACACACCGCCUGGGGAGUACGACCGCAAGGUUAAAACUCAAAUGAAUUGACGGGGACCCGCACAAGUAGUGGAGCAUGUGGUUUAAUUCGAAGAUACGCGCAGAACCUUACCAACACUUGACAUGUUCGUCGCGACUUUAAGAGGUUAAAGUUUUCGGUUCGGCCGGACGAAACACAGGUGCUGCAUGGCUGUCGUCAGCUCGUGUCGUGAGAUGUUGGGUUAAGUCCCGCAACGAGCGCAACCCUCACUUUUAGUUGCCAUCAUUUAGUUGGGCACUCUGAAAGAACUGCCAGUGAUAAGCUGGAGGAAGGUGGGGAUGACGUCAAGUCCUCAUGGCCCUUACGUGUUGGGCUACACACGUGCUACAAUGGUAUCUACAACAGGAAGCAAAACGGCGACGUUAAGCAAAUCCUUAAAAGAUACCUCAGUUCGGAUUGCACUCUGCAACUCGAGUGCAUGAAGCUGGAAUUACUAGUAAUCGUGGAUCAGCGUGCCACGGUGAAUGCGUUCCCGGGUCUUGUACACACCGCC